GUAAUUUAAUUUCGCAUCGACAGUUUACGGUCGUGGGCUUGGGAGCUAGCCCACUACCCAGGACCAGGAGCACCUCUUUUUCCUCUUGGGAGCGGUUUGGGGAAUUGGAAUUCGCGCAGCGGCCAGCGGGUGCGCAUCCGGCGGCGAGAGGUGGGUGGGCGACCAAGCAAGCAGGGAUAGUCGUUGUCGUCGAUGGGUGAAAUCAGCAGCUUCGUGGUCGGCCGUUCGAAGCGGCAUCAAUGGCGGUAUGGUGUGAUUGGCCUCAACAAAACCAGCUCCCACUGGAGCGGAAGGGAACGAUCGACUGUGGGAUUGCGGCUACUGGUGACUUCGGGGGCAUCAACCUCAGAUUGGGUGCACACUGUCGCAUCCCCUUACAAGCCAAGACUGAAUUUUUUCUUCAUAGAUGUGGCGAUCUGGUCCGCUAGGUAAGAUUAGAUGCUAGGGAGAAAUCAAACAGAACUUGCGUCUCCAGAUUAGACCUACGGCUGCCUCAAAUCCUGCUACAUUUUUCCCGUGCCUUCCCAUAAAGAGAGAGCUACAAAUCCUGUUGUGUGUGUCUAUGAUUCAUUGAUUCGUCGGGUUCAGCUCCAUUUUUUCUGUUCUGGACCCAAUCAAAUGUUCACUAUUAGACUAAGCAAUGCAAGAUUUGUAGGUUUCAUGUCACCGUGUGGCAAUGUCGCCAUGGCGGCAUGGUGGCGGCGUCAGCAGCCUGGUCGGGCCACGCGGCGGGUGGUGGCUGAGGGUGGCAUCGGCACAACAGUUGGGAUCCGUGUUUUGGAUCGAUUCACGGUGAGCGCAGAACACCAGUGGGCUUCGACGUAAAGUACAGUAGCUGGCCAUUCACUUCUCUGUAAGUUUUUGUAUAAAUCACCUAGGAGGAUGCCAAUUACAUGAUACUCUUCAUAAUAUGCAAAGAAAAUCCCUAACUUUACCACUGGCCUCUUUCCGGCCAGUUCAUCUAGUAUGAAGAUGCACUGGUUCAGGUUACAACUACCAACAACUAUUAUGUCCUCCCUAUCUUCAACACUUUGCAAAUGUCAUAUUCCAGAGGUUAAGAUCUAGGAUUGUAGAUUAUACACCUUUGAAAAAAAAUACGAGAAUUGUAGAUUAAACACCUCUGGAAAAAAUACGAGAGCGAAGAGAGGUGGGAUUGGUUUUCUUUUUUGCGCAGGGAUGAGUGAAGCUGGAUCUAGAGAGAACAAAUAGCAAGUCCAGGGGAACUCGAAAGCACAAUAUGCCAUAUUAACAUUUUUUGCCUUCUACAAACGACAAAACGAGUUCGUAAAAAUGAAUCAAAAGUGAACCCAAUAGAAAGUACUUUUACAAUUGUCAUUUUCUUAGGUUGUAUAUCCAAGUAAUACACAUAGAAAUAUCAGGGCAAUAAAAUGCCUUUUCCUAUCAGACUUGUAUGGUCUAGUUUGGCAACAUGGAAUGGAGCUGAGAAAUAAAUGUCCAUUCGAGGACAUUGUAUCUGUGUUAACAAUUUACAAUGCUGUAAAAGCUCCUCUAUUGAAAACCGAACACGGUAGUUGUGGUACUGUCCCAUUUAUACAAGAGACUCUCUGAAUAUUAAUCAUAUUCCUAGAAAUCUGAUUUUGUAAUGCUUCAUACCCCUUUUCUGUCAGACUUGAAUGCUUUUCUAAGUUGUGCUUUAGUACUAGCAAUUUUGAGUUGUGUAAAAAUAUUACACUGCAUCCUUGUUAGUCACAAGCUUGUCUUGGGCAUGCUCCACCUUAACCUGAACAAGCUGCGACACCUGAACUACAGUUGGAGAGUCAUGUAGCUGUUUUCCUUGUAAAUGUUUUCUGAUUACCUGAUGCAAUUGCUUCACUGUCAGUUCAUGUUCUCUGUAUAUUUUUCACUAGCAUAACGUUCCCUAUAUAGGAUGCUUCUGUUUGAGAAAUAACAUAUCAUUCUCAUAAUUUUAUGCUAUUUUUUUAGGUCGUAGGCGCAUCUUAUUUCAUUUGUUUCAGUAACUCUUAUUAUCUUGCUUUUGUUGAUGUGGGAUGAUGUUAGUGCUAGGAAGACCACCACCAACAUUAGUAGGCCAAUGGUUUCGAGUACCUCAAAGAAAUUGUCAAGUUCGAGGAAAUCCCAGACCAAAGUUGCUCCUUGCGCUACUGUUUUCCAUGGAACACAGUCACCGAAGAGCAGCAGGAGGCUCUUACUCUUUUCAGAGCUUUGUAAUCUUGUACUAUGAUCGUUGAAAGUUAAUAUAUAUUGAUGUUCAAAAAAAUAACCGAAGUGCUGCAUGAGAGAUAAACAUUUCAGUUCCAAACUGCUUUCUCCUUUCAAGUUCUACAGAACAAAGAAUUAUGUCAUAUUCUUCUUGAAGUAUUGUUAGCGCCUUUGCUCUGCAUGAAAUUGGCCUAUGUGACAGAAGUUUGAUGGAGUAGGUAUUACUUAUGCCUUGUAUAUAUAUUUUAUUCCGACUGUUUGUUAUUUUAUACUCAUUUGAAACUCUGGCAGGUUUCAUCUUAUAUCCAAUACUUCCCUGUCAUGAGAAAGUGCUCACCUGUUAAGGCUUUGGCUCCGUCUUUCAAGUACAAAGUGUUGACCUUGAUCGUUGAAGAUUCAGCUCCAUUGUAACAUUAACCCGAUAUUUUCAUUCAAUCCACUUAAUGCCAUAUGGUGUUAUCCUUCUAAUCUUGUGAAUUUUCAUCAAUAGUUUGUGUAUUGCAGACAAAGACGAAUCAGCGCACCUCUAGUGCGUCAUCUUACAUGAUUUGAAUGAAACCAGGCCUACCUGAUUCUUUGGAGAAGUUCAGACCCAUGAAAAUCCAUAUCUAAAACACUUGAUUUGAAGCUCCCCUUAGCAGAACUGGUUUGAGCCAGAUGUGACCAUGGAGGUUUUGGCUCAACUAAAUCCCCUUUACUCAGAUACCUCAACACACUAGCAGUGCACAGGAAAUUGACAAGGACAUGUAGACACGGAGAGCUUGUGCAUACUCUCCCUAAAACAAAUUGUACUUCUGUAUGUAGUUGAAUAUCUUUAUUCUGGUGUCAUGUCCAUGUAAUGUACUUGCUUAUGAAUGCUUUCUUCUAUUGGCAUCAUCUACCAGAUCAUAUCCAGAAUUGUUGUACUGCAAGAAUGAUGCAUGUCACCUACGUGACAUUUUGUAAUUGAGUUUUUUUAUGUCCCAUUGUAUACCAUAUUUUA
Lolium rigidum is the source of this 3163-nucleotide long non-coding RNA. RefSeq lists it as uncharacterized. The transcript has 2 exons. The record is from RefSeq and is a predicted model, not a curated record. Lineage: Eukaryota; Viridiplantae; Streptophyta; Magnoliopsida; Poales; Poaceae.